RNAcentral lists this long non-coding RNA (345 nucleotides) under Nicotiana benthamiana. Its description in RNAcentral is "long non-coding RNA (NBEN_LNC035929)". The record is from RNAcentral. Lineage: Eukaryota; Viridiplantae; Streptophyta; Magnoliopsida; Solanales; Solanaceae.
UCUUUCCAUUCCUUAAAGUUUGUGCCGUUAAGCACAGGGAUGCUGUUAAUGUUUGCAGAUAUUGUAGCAGCUGAAGAAUUCACUGAAAAUAUAACAAGGACAACUUAAUACAUGCUUACAGUUACUUGAAUUUUAAACUGGAGUUUACAGAUUCAAAAUAGGCAAAUCACAUUACAAGAUACCUAGCACAACAUUGAUUUUGGUCUUUGGACAGAAAAUCAACUUGUAAGUGGUACUCUUGGUGUAGUAAUCAAAUAUUGACAAUAAACUCCUGUCAAAUUUCAAGCCUUCCUUUGGGCCGACUUAAUAUUCACAUGGAAAACUUAAUAAUUGUCACAUAUUUAU